UACGUAGGGGGCAAGCGUUGUCCGGAAUCAUUGGGCGUAAAGAGCGUGUAGGCGGCCAGAUAAGUCCGCUGUGAAAUCUCGAGGCUCAACUUCGAGCUGUCGGUGGAAACUGUCUGGCUAGAGUCCGGAAGAGGAGAAUGGAAUUCCAGGUGUAGCGGUGAAAUGCGUAGAUAUCUGGAGGAACACCGGUGGCGAAGGCGGCAUUCUGGACUGCAACUGACACUGAACGACGAAAGCCAGGGGAGCAAACGGG
This 253-nucleotide ribosomal RNA is filed under the name uncultured bacterium. RNAcentral's name for it is "partial 16S ribosomal RNA". It matches the Rfam family "Bacterial small subunit ribosomal RNA", at positions 524 to 776 of the family's 1533-position model. The record is from RNAcentral.